RNAcentral lists this ribosomal RNA (253 nucleotides) under uncultured bacterium. RNAcentral describes it as "partial 16S ribosomal RNA". It matches the Rfam family "Bacterial small subunit ribosomal RNA", at positions 524 to 776 of the family's 1533-position model. The record is from RNAcentral.
UACGGAGGGUGCAAGCGUUAUCCGGAUUCACUGGGUUUGAAGGGUGCGUAGGUGGGCAAGUAAGUCAGUGGUGAAAUCUCCGGGCUUAACCCGGAAACUGCCAUUGAUACUAUUUGUCUUGAAUACUGUGGAGGUCAGCGGAGUAUGUCAUGUAGCGGUGAAAUGCUUAGAUAUGACAUAGAACACCAAUUGCGAAGGCAGCUGGCUACACAAAUAUUGACACUGAGGCACGAAAGCGUGGGGAUCAAACAGG